This 201-nucleotide ribosomal RNA is filed under the name Litchfieldia stipae. Its description in RNAcentral is "Bacillus sp. PS06 Bacterial small subunit ribosomal RNA". It matches the Rfam family "Bacterial small subunit ribosomal RNA", at positions 1 to 198 of the family's 1533-position model. The record is from Rfam by way of RNAcentral. Lineage: Bacteria; Bacillati; Bacillota; Bacilli; Caryophanales; Bacillaceae.
UUUUUGGAGAGUUUGAUCCUGGCUCAGGAUGAACGCUGGCGGCGUGCCUAAUACAUGCAAGUCGAGCGGAUCUUUGGGAGCUUGCUCCCAAAGAUUAGCGGCGGACGGGUGAGUAACACGUGGGCAACCUGCCUAUAAGACUGGGAUAACUUCGGGAAACCGGAGCUAAUACCGGAUAAUAAAUAGAACCACAUGGUUCUA